AUGACUGGGGGAGAGAGGAGGUGUGUGUGUGGCACACCGCCGUGCGUGAUAUCUCGGUCCAUCGGCCCCUGCCUCCUCCCCUCCCUACCCACACUCUCUGUGGGGAAGCCAAGCAGCCUGCCGUCUGCCCUCUGGGUAUUGGUUGCGGUCUCUUGACGUCGGCGGAGGCAUCACGGCUGCUGCCAUGCCACAGAUAAUUGCUGCCAUGAUGACGCUUCUACCAGCUCACGACGAAAUGUGUCGAUGAUACAACAAGCACGGGCAUCCACCCACUGUUUUUCUGCUUUAGCUGCGCCGCGGUGCUAUCGAGCGUAAUCCUGGACCCGGCCUGCGCUGCAUGCAGUGGAAUGUCAAUGGGCUGAAGGACGCCACACGGCUUUGGCUCGCCUAGUUUCUGGACACGGCCAUGGUGCGACUGAGUUCGGUGAACGGUGGUUGCACGGGCCUAUUCGUUGACAUGUUCGUGGUUGGAUGGCCACGCUGCAAAAAAAAAAGAAGACACGUGCGCACUGAGA
RNAcentral lists this unclassified non-coding RNA (515 nucleotides) under Leishmania donovani. Its description in RNAcentral is "gene:unknown". The record is from RNAcentral. Lineage: Eukaryota; Euglenozoa; Kinetoplastea; Trypanosomatida; Trypanosomatidae.